RNAcentral lists this non-coding RNA (24 nucleotides) under Drosophila melanogaster (fruit fly). The record is from RNAcentral. Lineage: Eukaryota; Metazoa; Arthropoda; Insecta; Diptera; Drosophilidae.
UAGUAUGGGCCCUAGCUAAACUGC